UUAACUCAAAUUUGUUUAGAGUUGGCACGUUUGCCUACGUUUGCCGAUAAGGGCGCUGAUCCAACUCCAUACAAAUCUGAGUUA
This 84-nucleotide microRNA precursor is filed under the name Bombyx mori (domestic silkworm). Its description in RNAcentral is "mir-2807 microRNA precursor family". It matches the Rfam family "mir-2807 microRNA precursor family". Lineage: Eukaryota; Metazoa; Arthropoda; Insecta; Lepidoptera; Bombycidae. The record is from Rfam by way of RNAcentral.